Molecule: ribosomal RNA, 1450 nt
Filed under: Francisella halioticida
Lineage: Bacteria; Pseudomonadati; Pseudomonadota; Gammaproteobacteria; Thiotrichales; Francisellaceae
Description: bacterial SSU rRNA
Rfam family: Bacterial small subunit ribosomal RNA
Source: RNAcentral
GCUGGUGGCAUGCUUAACACAUGCAAGUCGAACGGUAACAGGAGAAGCUUGCUUCUUGCUGACGAGUGGCGGACGGGUGAGUAACGCGUAGGAAUCUGCCCAUUUGUGGGGGAUACCAGUUGGAAACGACUGUUAAUACCGCAUACUAUCUGAGGAUUAAAGGUGGCCUUUGUGCUGCCGCAGAUGGAUGAGCCUGCGUUAGAUUAGCUUGUUGGUGGGGUAAAGGCCUACCAAGGCUACGAUCUAUAGCUGAUUUGAGAGGAUGAUCAGCCACAUUGGGACUGAGACACGGCCCAAACUCCUACGGGAGGCAGCAGUGGGGAAUAUUGGACAAUGGAGGAAACUCUGAUCCAGCAAUGCCAUGUGUGUGAAGAAGGCUCUAGGGUUGUAAAGCACUUUAGUUGGGGAGGAAAGCUUAUGAGUUAAUAGCUCAUGAGAAGGACGUUACCCAAAGAAUAAGGACCGGCUAACUCCGUGCCAGCAGCCGCGGUAAUACGGGGGGGUCCGAGCGUUAAUCGGAAUUACUGGGCGUAAAGGGUCUGUAGGUGGUUUGUUAAGUCAGAUGUGAAAGCCCAGGGCUCAACCUUGGAACUGCAUUUGAUACUGGCAAACUAGAGUAUGGUAGAGGAAUGGGGAAUUUCUGGUGUAGCGGUGAAAUGCGUAGAGAUCAGAAGGAACACCAAUGGCGAAGGCAACAUUCUGGACCAAUACUGACACUGAGGGACGAAAGCGUGGGGAUCAAACAGGAUUAGAUACCCUGGUAGUCCACGCUGUAAACGAUGAGUACUAGCUGUUGGAUUCGGUGUAAAGGAUCUAGUGGCGUAGCUAACGCGUUAAGUACUCCGCCUGGGGACUACGGCCGCAAGGCUAAAACUCAAAGGAAUUGACGGGGACCCGCACAAGCGGUGGAGCAUGUGGUUUAAUUCGAUGCAACGCGAAGAACCUUACCUGGUCUUGACAUCCUGCGAACUUUCUAGAGAUAGAUUGGUGCCUUCGGGAACGCAGUGACAGGUGCUGCACGGCUGUCGUCAGCUCGUGUUGUGAAAUGUUGGGUUAAGUCCCGCAACGAGCGCAACCCCUAUUGAUAGUUACCAUCAUUAAGUUGGGUACUCUAUUGAGACUGCCGCUGACAAGGCGGAGGAAGGUGGGGACGACGUCAAGUCAUCAUGGCCCUUACGACCAGGGCUACACACGUGCUACAAUGGGUAUUACAGAGGGCAGCGAAGUAGCGAUAUGGAGCGAAACUCAGAAAGGUACUCUUAGUCCGGAUUGCAGUCUGCAACUCGACUGCAUGAAGUCGGAAUCGCUAGUAAUCGCAGGUCAGAAUACUGCGGUGAAUACGUUCCCGGGUCUUGUACACACCGCCCGUCACACCAUGGGAGUGGGUUGCUCCAGAAGUAGAUAGCUUAACGAAUGGGCGUUUACCACGGAGUGAUUCAUGACUGGGGUG